CUGCUGCCUUCCGUAGGAGUCUGGUCCGUGUCUCAGUACCAGUGUGGGGGGCCUUCCUCUCAGAACCCCUACGCAUCGUCGG
RNAcentral lists this ribosomal RNA (82 nucleotides) under uncultured bacterium. Its description in RNAcentral is "partial 16S ribosomal RNA". The record is from RNAcentral.